UGUCCAGCCAAUGGCGGCGGUGAUGCUGAGCCAGACCGGUGUCCUGUCCCAAACUUUACAGUAUCCAAUAAGAGCGUUGGGAACCAUAGGAACAGCAUGAGGGAGGGUCGAGAGGAGGGAGCAAAAAACUGAGAGCCAAUAAAAAGGCACAAAUGCCCCCUCCCCUUCUGAAAAGGAGUAUGUUUACCAUAAUUGACAGCACAAGUGCCAUCCCUGAGCAGACGGUGAUAAUGCAUCAACCCUUCUGCUUGUCGAGAUAGAAGCUGGUGCAGCAGGAUUAAAGCGCCACAAUGCGGCUGUUUCUGCUCUGUGGCUCAGUAUACAAACUGCUGCAAAGUGCAUUUAAUUGUUACUUUGUGUUAUUAUCCAAACAAACAGGAGCGAGGCAUUGACACAGUACAAAAAUUAGCGAGUGCAUGCUUAAAAAGUUUGCUCCAGAGAUGGUCAACUUGUAUGUGGCGCAGCCGACGCAUCGGUGCCCCUUGCAAACAGCUCUCCCUCUCCCUUUUCUCUCAGCAACAGACGCUCACUUUCACCGCGAACAGCCAAUCAUGGCGCAGAAUCCCGCUGGCUCUGACGUCGGUAAUCUCUCCGCCACACCCACUCCACUGAAAAUCAACGGGACCGGUCUCGACUGACGUCACUUCACCGGCAGGCGAUUGGGCAGGCAGUGGUGGAGAGACGAGCCGGUGUGCUGAGCACUGACUGAAAGAUGUGCAUGUUUGAGAUGAGGGCACGUGCGCCAAACGGCCAUCCUUGCACGUGUGAUCACCUUGAUGUAUGGCAUCUGUACUAUGAUAUUAAAGACCAGACUCACGCUGAGACAGACAGCCAUGCUGCAGCUCACAGGAACAGCGCCCCCUGUCAGUGUGAUCUGACGCAUGCAUGUUGAAUCCACUCAAGCUCGCUGAUGGGAGAGAAGAGUAGACCUAAAAACAGAAG
Long non-coding RNA from Acanthopagrus latus (yellowfin seabream), 942 nucleotides. RefSeq lists it as uncharacterized. NCBI's taxonomy places the organism in Eukaryota, Metazoa, Chordata, Actinopteri, Spariformes, Sparidae. The transcript has 3 exons. The record is from RefSeq and is a predicted model, not a curated record.